UACGGAGGGGGCAAGCGUUGUCCGGAAUUAUUGGGCGUAAAGCGCGCGCAGGCGGCUUUGUAAGUCUGGUGUUUAAACCUAGGGCUCAACCCUGGGUCGCAUUGGAAACUGCAAGGCUUGAGUGCAGAAGAGGAGAGUGGAAUUCCACGUGUAGCGGUGAAAUGCGUAGAGAUGUGGAGGAACACCAGUGGCGAAGGCGACUCUCUGGGCUGUAACUGACGCUGAGGCGCGAAAGCGUGGGGAGCAAACAGG
Molecule: ribosomal RNA, 252 nt
Filed under: uncultured bacterium
Lineage: Bacteria
Description: partial 16S ribosomal RNA
Rfam family: Bacterial small subunit ribosomal RNA
Source: RNAcentral